CAGCUAGUUGGUGAGGUAACGGCUCACCAAGGCGAUGAUGGCUAGCUGGUCUGAGAGGAUGGCCAGCCACACUGGGACUGAAACACGGCCCAGACUCCUACGGGAGGCAGCAGUAGGGAAUAUUGCGCAAUGGGCGAAAGCCUGACGCAGCGACGCCGCGUGGGUGAUGAAGGCCUUCGGGUCGUAAAGCCCUGUCGAGGGGGACGAAUCGGUUGCGACCUAAUACGUCGUGAUCCUGACGGUACCCCUAAAGGAAGCACCGGCUAACUCCGUGCCAGCAGCCGCGGUAAUACGGAGGGUGCUAGCGUUGUUCGGAAUCACUGGGCGUAAAGCGCGUGUAGGCGGCCCACUAAGUCUGAUGUGAAAGCCCGGGGCUCACCCCCGGAAGCGCAUUGGAAACUGAUGGGCUCGAGUCUCGGAGAGGAGGGUGGAAUUCCUGGUGUAGCGGUGAAAUGCGUAGAUAUCAGGAGGAACACCGGUGGCGAAGGCGGCCCUCUGGAC
Molecule: ribosomal RNA, 501 nt
Filed under: uncultured delta proteobacterium
Lineage: Bacteria; Deltaproteobacteria
Description: SSU rRNA
Rfam family: Bacterial small subunit ribosomal RNA
Source: RNAcentral